This 487-nucleotide ribosomal RNA is filed under the name uncultured bacterium. Its description in RNAcentral is "bacterial SSU rRNA". It matches the Rfam family "Bacterial small subunit ribosomal RNA", at positions 501 to 987 of the family's 1533-position model. The record is from RNAcentral.
CUACGUGCCAGCAGCCGCGGUAAUACGUAGGUGGCAAGCGUUGUCCGGAAUUAUUGGGCGUAAAGCGCGCGCAGGCGGAUCGGUCAGUCUGUCUUAAAAGUUCGGGGCUUAACCCCGUGAUGGGAUGGAAACUGCCAAUCUAGAGUAUCGGAGAGGAAAGUGGAAUUCCUAGUGUAGCGGUGAAAUGCGUAGAUAUUAGGAAGAACACCAGUGGCGAAGGCGACUUUCUGGACGAAAACUGACGCUGAGGCGCGAAAGCCAGGGGAGCGAACGGGAUUAGAUACCCCGGUAGUCCUGGCCGUAAACGAUGGGUACUAGGUGUAGGAGGUAUCGACCCCUUCUGUGCCGGAGUUAACGCAAUAAGUACCCCGCCUGGGGAGUACGACCGCAAGGUUGAAACUCAAAGGAAUUGACGGGGGCCCGCACAAGCGGUGGAGUAUGUGGUUUAAUUCGACGCAACGCGAAGAACCUUACCAGGUCUUGACAU